CCCAAGCGACUGUUUACUAAAAACACAGGUCCGUGCGAAGUCGCAAGACGAUGUAUACGGACUGACGCCUGCCCGGUGCUGGAACGUUAAGAGGACCUGUUAGUCCCCUUGUGGGGCGAAGCGGAGAAUUUAAGCGCCAGUAAACGGCGGUGGUAACUAUAACCAUCCUAAGGUAGCGAAAUUCCUUGUCGGGUAAGUUCCGACCUGCACGAAUGGCGUAACGACUUGGGCGCUGUCUCGACCACAGACUCGGCGAAAUUGCACUACGAGUAAAGAUGCUCGUUACGCGCGGCAGGACGGAAAGACCCCGGGACCUUUACUAUAGCUUGGUAUUGGUGCUCGGUUCGGCUUGUGUAGGAUAGGUGGGAGACUGUGAAGCUAUCACGCCAGUGGUGGUGGAGUCGUUGUUGAAAUACCACUCUGGUCGAAUUGGGUGUCUUAACCUCGGGCCAUGAUCUGGUUCAGGGACAGUGCCUGGUGGGUAGUUUAACUGGGGCGGUUGCCUCCCAAAGAGUAACGGAGGCGCCCAAAGGUUCCCUCAGCCUGGUUGGCAAUCAGGUGUUGAGUGUAAGUGCACAAGGGAGCUUGACUGUGAGACUGACGGGUCGAGCAGGGACGAAAGUCGGGACUAGUGAUCCGGCACCACCUUGUGGAAGGGGUGUCGCUCAACGGAUAAAAGGUACCCCGGGGAUAACAGGCUGAUCUUGCCCAAGAGUCCAUAUCGACGGCAUGGUUUGGCACCUCGAUGUCGGCUCGUCGCAUCCUGGGGCUGGAGUAGGUCCCAAGGGUUGGGCUGUUCGCCCAUUAAAGCGGUACGCGAGCUGGGUUUAGAACGUCGUGAGACAGUUCGGUCCCUAUCCGCCGCGCGCGUUGGAGACUUGAGGAAGGCUGUCCCUAGUACGAGAGGACCGGGACGGACGAACCUCUGGUGUGCCAGUUGUCCCGCCAGGGGCACGGCUGGUUGGCUAUGUUCGGGAGGGAUAACCGCUGAAGGCAUCUAAGCGGGAAGCCUGUUCCAAGAUGAGGUCUCCCACCACCUUUGAGUGGGUAAGGCUCCCAGGAGAUGACUGGGUUGAUAGGCCGGAGAUGGAAGCCCUGUGAGGGGUGGAGUUGACCGGUACUAAUAGGCCGAGGGC
RNAcentral lists this ribosomal RNA (1136 nucleotides) under Pseudonocardia sp. Ae505_Ps2. RNAcentral's name for it is "LSU rRNA". It matches the Rfam family "Bacterial large subunit ribosomal RNA", at positions 1791 to 2912 of the family's 2925-position model. The record is from RNAcentral. Lineage: Bacteria; Bacillati; Actinomycetota; Actinomycetes; Pseudonocardiales; Pseudonocardiaceae.